UGGGGCGUCGGCAAGUGGUAAGCCAAGAGACUUUGAAUCUCUAAUCAGUGGUUCGAUUCCACUCGCCCCGGCCA
This 74-nucleotide transfer RNA is filed under the name Deltaproteobacteria bacterium. Its description in RNAcentral is "tRNA-Gln". It matches the Rfam family "tRNA". Rfam says of the family: Transfer RNA (tRNA) molecules are approximately 80 nucleotides in length. Their secondary structure includes four short double-helical elements and three loops (D, anti-codon, and T loops). Lineage: Bacteria; Pseudomonadati; Myxococcota; Myxococcia. The record is from RNAcentral. RNAcentral also lists the same sequence under 1 other name.